This 1343-nucleotide ribosomal RNA is filed under the name uncultured bacterium. RNAcentral describes it as "bacterial SSU rRNA". It matches the Rfam family "Bacterial small subunit ribosomal RNA", at positions 28 to 1381 of the family's 1533-position model. The record is from RNAcentral.
GACGAACGCUGGCGGCGUGCUUAACACAUGCAAGUCGAACGGUGAUCCGGGAGCUUGCUUUCGGUGAUCAGUGGCGAACGGGUGAGUAACACGUGAGUAACCUGCCCCUGACUCUGGGAUAACUGCUGGAAACGGUGGCUAAUACCGGAUAUGACACCUUCCUGCAUGGGAUGGGUGUGGAAAGAUUUUUUGGUUGGGGAUGGGCUCGCGGCCUAUCAGCUUGUUGGUGGGGUGAUGGCCUACCAAGGCGACGACGGGUAGCCGGCCUGAGAGGGCGACCGGCCACACUGGGACUGAGACACGGCCCAGACUCCUACGGGAGGCAGCAGUGGGGAAUAUUGCACAAUGGGCGAAAGCCUGAUGCAGCGACGCCGCGUGAGGGAUGAAGGCCUUCGGGUUGUAAACCUCUUUCAGCAGGGAAGAAGCGAGAGUGACGGUACCUGCAGAAGAAGCGCCGGCUAACUACGUGCCAGCAGCCGCGGUAAUACGUAGGGCGCAAGCGUUGUCCGGAAUUAUUGGGCGUAAAGAGCUCGUAGGCGGUUUGUCGCGUCUGCUGUGAAAACCUAAGGCUCAACCUUGGGCUUGCAGUGGGUACGGGCAGACUAGAGUGCGGUAGGGGUGACUGGAAUUCCUGGUGUAGCGGUGGAAUGCGCAGAUAUCAGGAGGAACACCGAUGGCGAAGGCAGGUCACUGGGCCGCAACUGACGCUGAGGAGCGAAAGCAUGGGGAGCGAACAGGAUUAGAUACCCUGGUAGUCCAUGCCGUAAACGUUGGGCACUAGGUGUGGGGCUCAUUCCACGAGUUCCGUGCCGCAGCAAACGCAUUAAGUGCCCCGCCUGGGGAGUGCGGCCGCAAGGCUAAAACUCAAAGAAAUUGACGGGGGCCCGCACAAGCGGCGGAGCAUGCGGAUUAAUUCGAUGCAACGCGAAGAACCUUACCAAGGCUUGACAUACACCGGAAAAGUGCAGAGAUGUGCUCCCCGCAAGGUCGGUGUACAGGUGGUGCAUGGUUGUCGUCAGCUCGUGUCGUGAGAUGUUGGGUUAAGUCCCGCAACGAGCGCAACCCUCGUCCCAUGUUGCCAGCGGGUAGUGCCGGGGACUCAUGGGAGACUGCCGGGGUCAACUCGGAGGAAGGUGGGGAUGACGUCAAAUCAUCAUGCCCCUUAUGUCUUGGGCUUCACGCAUGCUACAAUGGCCGGUACAAAGGGCUGCGAUACCGCGAGGUGGAGCGAAUCCCAAAAAGCCGGUCUCAGUUCGGAUUGGGGUCUGCAACUCGACCCCAUGAAGUCGGAGUCGCUAGUAAUCGCAGAUCAGCAACGCUGCGGUGAAUACGUUCCCGGGCCU